CCGCAUAAAUACGUCUCAUUUCGUAUAUCCUGGACGAUAGGGUCUAGGGUUUCUACCGGAAACCGUAAAUUUCUAGCUACGAAAAAAAUAUGCCCCUCG
This 99-nucleotide non-coding RNA is filed under the name Paenibacillus sp. RNAcentral describes it as "Guanine sequence". It matches the Rfam family "Purine riboswitch aptamer". Rfam says of the family: Riboswitches are metabolite binding domains within certain messenger RNAs that serve as precision sensors for their corresponding targets. RNAcentral also lists the same sequence under 2 other names. The record is from RNAcentral. Lineage: Bacteria; Bacillati; Bacillota; Bacilli; Caryophanales; Paenibacillaceae.